Molecule: ribosomal RNA, 1341 nt
Filed under: uncultured bacterium
Lineage: Bacteria
Description: 16S ribosomal RNA
Rfam family: Bacterial small subunit ribosomal RNA
Source: RNAcentral
CGCUGGCGGCGUGCUUAACACGUGCGAGUCGAGCGAGGAGGCCGAGCUUGCUAGGUGGAUGAGUGGCGAACGGGGGAGGAAUACGUGAGUAACCUAGCUUGAACUCUGGGAUAAGGCGGGGAAACUGGGGCUAAUACCGGAUACUACCAAUCUCCGCAUGGGGUGUUGGUGGAAAGCGGUAUGUAUGGGUUAUAGAUGGGCUCGCGGCCUAUCAGCUUGUUGGUGAGGUAACGGCUCACCAAGGCGACGACGGGUAGCCGGCCUGAGAGGGUGACCGGCCACACUGGGACUGAGACACGGCCCAGACUCCUACGGGAGGCAGCAGUGGGGAAUAUUGCACAAUGGGCGCAAGCCUGAUGCAGCGACGCCGCGUGAGGGAUGACGGCCUUCGGGUUGUAAACCUCUGUUAGCAGGGAAGAAGAGAAAUUGACGGUACCUGCAGAGAAAGCGCCGGCUAACUACGUGCCAGCAGCCGCGGUAAUACGUAGGGCGCGAGCGUUGUCCGGAAUUAUUGGGCGUAAAGAGCUUGUAGGCGGUUUGUCGCGUCUGCUGUGAAGGCCGGGGCUUAACCCCGUGUAUUGCAGUGGGUACGGGCAGACUAGAGUGCAGAAGGGGAGACUGGAAUUCCUGGUGUAGCGGUGGAAUGCGCAGAUAUCAGGAGGAACACCGAUGGCGAAGGCAGGUCUCUGGGCUGUAACUGACGCUGAGAAGCGAAAGCAUGGGGAGCGAACAGGAUUAGAUACCCUGGUAGUCCAUGCCGUAAACGUUGGGCACUAGGUGUGGGGGACAUUCCACGUUUUCCGCGCCGUAGCUAACGCAUUAAGUGCCCCGCCUGGGGAGUACGGCCGCAAGGCUAAAACUCAAAGAAAUUGACGGGGGCCCGCACAAGCGGCGGAGCAUGCGGAUUAAUUCGAUGCGACGCGAAGAACCUUACCAAGGCUUGACAUAUACUGGACCGCAUCAGAGAUGGUGUUUCCCUUCGGGGCUGGUAUACAGGUGGUGCAUGGUUGUCGUCAGCUCGUGUCGUGAGAUGUUGGGUUAAGUCCCGCAACGAGCGCAACCCUCGUUCUAUGUUGCCAGCACGUUAUGGUGGGGACUCAUAGGAGACUGCCGGGGUCAACCCGGAGGAAGGUGGGGAUGACGUCAAAUCAUCAUGCCCCUUAUGUCUUGGGCUUCACGCAUGCUACAAUGGCCGGUACAGAGGGUUGCGAUACUGUGAGGUGGAGCUAAUCCCUAAAAGCCGGUCUCAGUUCGGAUUGGGGUCUGCAACUCGACCCCAUGAAGUCGGAGUCGCUAGUAAUCGCAGAUCAGCAACGCUGCGGUGAAUACGUUCCCGGGCCU